AACGAACGCUGGCGGCAGGCUUAACACAUGCAAGUCGAGCGCCCCGCAAGGGGAGCGGCAGACGGGUGAGUAACGCGUGGGAAUCUACCUUUUGCUACGGAAUAACUCAGGGAAACUUGUGCUAAUACCGUAUGUGCCCUUCGGGGGAAAGAUUUAUCGGCAAAGGAUGAGCCCGCGUUGGAUUAGCUAGUUGGUGGGGUAAUGGCCUACCAAGGCGACGAUCCAUAGCUGGUCUGAGAGGAUGAUCAGCCACAUUGGGACUGAGACACGGCCCAAACUCCUACGGGAGGCAGCAGUGGGGAAUAUUGGACAAUGGGCGCAAGCCUGAUCCAGCCAUGCCGCGUGAGUGAUGAAGGCCCUAGGGUUGUAAAGCUCUUUCACCGGUGAAGAUAAUGACGGUAACCGGAGAAGAAGCCCCGGCUAACUUCGUGCCAGCCGCCGCAGUAA
This 447-nucleotide ribosomal RNA is filed under the name uncultured bacterium. Its description in RNAcentral is "partial 16S ribosomal RNA". It matches the Rfam family "Bacterial small subunit ribosomal RNA", at positions 29 to 523 of the family's 1533-position model. The record is from RNAcentral.